CUGGUUGAUUCUGCCAGUGGUCAUAUGCUCGUCUCAAAGAUUAAGCCAUGCAUGUCUAAGUUCAAAUCGUUUAGCGAUGAAACUGCGAAGCGCUCAGUAAAUCAGUUAUAGUCUAUUCGAUAAUAUAAGCCAUGGAUAACUGUGGUAAAUCUAUAGCUAAUACAUAGCAAAUCCCGGACUUGUUCCGGGAGCAUUUAUUAGUAAACCAAAACAUUUGGUGAAUCUAGAUAACUUUGCAUAUCGUAUGGCGCAAGCCAGCGAUAGUUCGAUCGAAUUUCUGCUCUAUUAACUAGUUGGUGAGGUAGUGGCUCACCAAGGUUGUAAUGGAUAACGGGGAAUUAGGGUUCGAUUCCGGAGAGGGAGCCUGAGAAACGGCUACCACAUCUAAGGAAGGCAGCAGGCGCGCAAAUUACCCAAUCCAGACAUUGGGAGGUAGUGACGAGAAAUAGCGGAGUUGACCUAAUGGUUGACUACCGGAAUGRACGUGAUUUAAUACCUUCGUUGAGUAUCUAUUGGAGGGCAAGUCUGGUGCCAGCAGCCGCGGUAAUUCCAGCUCCAAUAGUGUAUAUUAAAAUUGCUGCAGUUAAAAAGCUCGUAGUUGAAUUACARAGUUUUGGUGAUGUGUCAGUAUCUUACGCAAGUGAGAUGUUGUACUAGACCAGUUCUUUUUAUCACAAGAGCCAUUUAUGAAAUUAAGUUUUUGUAGAUGGUCACUUGUGGAGUGUGCCUUGAAUAAAGCAAAGUGCUCAARGCAAGCGUAUGCUCGAAUGUAAUAGCAUGGUACGAAUAUAUAAAAUCAAAUCAGUUGGUUGCUGACUUGGUCUCGAUUAAAAGGGACACUUGAGGGCGUUAGUACUUGAUGGCGAGAGGUGAAAUUCUUAGACCCAUCAAAGACUCACAAAUGCGAAAGCAUUCGCCAAGACUGUUUUCAUUAAUCAAGAACGAAAGUUGGAGGUUCGAAGACGAUCAGAUACCGUCGUAGUUCCAUACAGUAAACUAUGCUAUCUUGAAAUUAGCAUGUAGUUAAUGCAUGUUAGUGUCUCCGCGAAAGCUUAAGUUUUUGAGCUCUGGGGGGAGUACGGUCGCAAGGUUUAAACUUAAAGUAAUUGACGGAAGGGCACCACCAGGAGUGGAGCCUGCGGCUUAAUUUGACUCAACACGGGGCAACUCACCAGGUCCGGACAUUGAAAGGAUUGACAGACUGACAGAUUUUUCAUGAUACAAUGAUUGGUGGUGCAUGGCCGUUCUUAGUUGGUGGAGUGAUCUGUCAGGUUAAUUCCGGURACGAGCGAGACCACAAUCUCUAAUUCAUUACAGUUGCAUUCUUGUUGUAACUGAUCUUAGAGAGACUACUGAGUUCAACUCAGGGGAAGUGUGGCAAUAACAGGUCUGUGAUGCCCUUCGAUGUUCUGGGCUGCACGCGCGCUACAAUGGCAGCAACAAAAAGUACCUAACUUGAGAGAGUCGGGUAAACUUGCAAUUGCUGUCAUGAUUGGGAUUGAGCCUUGUAAUUAUUGCUCAUGAAAGUGGAAUUCCUCGUAAGCGCGAGUCAUAAACUCGUGUUGAAUACGUCUCUGCCCUUUGUACACACCGCCCGUCGCUAGUACCG
This 1609-nucleotide ribosomal RNA is filed under the name Enteromyxum scophthalmi. RNAcentral's name for it is "SSU rRNA". It matches the Rfam family "Eukaryotic small subunit ribosomal RNA". Lineage: Eukaryota; Metazoa; Cnidaria; Myxozoa; Bivalvulida; Enteromyxidae. The record is from RNAcentral.